Molecule: microRNA, 23 nt
Filed under: Haemonchus contortus (barber pole worm)
Lineage: Eukaryota; Metazoa; Nematoda; Chromadorea; Rhabditida; Trichostrongylidae
Description: hco-miR-5912b
Source: miRBase by way of RNAcentral
AUAUUCGAGUCCCUGCUCCCAGC